UUAAAGAAAUAUCUUAUAAAAAGCUUCUAACUUUUUACAAAGCAUUUAACUGUUUAU
This 57-nucleotide transfer RNA is filed under the name Porrostoma haemorrhoidalis. RNAcentral's name for it is "partial tRNA-Ser". Lineage: Eukaryota; Metazoa; Arthropoda; Insecta; Coleoptera; Lycidae. The record is from RNAcentral.